This 1203-nucleotide ribosomal RNA is filed under the name Escherichia coli. RNAcentral's name for it is "partial 23S ribosomal RNA". It matches the Rfam family "Bacterial large subunit ribosomal RNA", at positions 1 to 1235 of the family's 2925-position model. Lineage: Bacteria; Pseudomonadati; Pseudomonadota; Gammaproteobacteria; Enterobacterales; Enterobacteriaceae. The record is from RNAcentral.
GGGUUGUGAGGUUAAGCGACUAAGCGUACACGGUGGAUGCCCUGGCAGUCAGAGGCGAUGAAGGACGUGCUAAUCUGCGAUAAGCGUCGGUAAGGUGAUAUGAACCGUUAUAACCGGCGAUUUCCGAAUGGGGAAACCCAGUGUGUUUCGACACACUAUCAUUAACUGAAUCCAUAGGUUAAUGAGGCGAACCGGGGGAACUGAAACAUCUAAGUACCCCGAGGAAAAGAAAUCAACCGAGAUUCCCCCAGUAGCGGCGAGCGAACGGGGAGCAGCCCAGAGCCUGAAUCAGUGUGUGUGUUAGUGGAAGCGUCUGGAAAGGCGCGCGAUACAGGGUGACAGCCCCGUACACAAAAAUGCACAUGCUGUGAGCUCGAUGAGUAGGGCGGGACACGUGGUAUCCUGUCUGAAUAUGGGGGGACCAUCCUCCAAGGCUAAAUACUCCUGACUGACCGAUAGUGAACCAGUACCGUGAGGGAAAGGCGAAAAGAACCCCGGCGAGGGGAGUGAAAAAGAACCUGAAACCGUGUACGUACAAGCAGUGGGAGCCUCUUUUAUGGGGUGACUGCGUACCUUUUGUAUAAUGGGUCAGCGACUUAUAUUCUGUAGCAAGGUUAACCGAAUAGGGGAGCCGAAGGGAAACCGAGUCUUAACUGGGCGUUAAGUUGCAGGGUAUAGACCCGAAACCCGGUGAUCUAGCCAUGGGCAGGUUGAAGGUUGGGUAACACUAACUGGAGGACCGAACCGACUAAUGUUGAAAAAUUAGCGGAUGACUUGUGGCUGGGGGUGAAAGGCCAAUCAAACCGGGAGAUAGCUGGUUCUCCCCGAAAGCUAUUUAGGUAGCGCCUCGUGAAUUCAUCUCCGGGGGUAGAGCACUGUUUCGGCAAGGGGGUCAUCCCGACUUACCAACCCGAUGCAAACUGCGAAUACCGGAGAAUGUUAUCACGGGAGACACACGGCGGGUGCUAACGUCCGUCGUGAAGAGGGAAACAACCCAGACCGCCAGCUAAGGUCCCAAAGUCAUGGUUAAGUGGGAAACGAUGUGGGAAGGCCCAGACAGCCAGGAUGUUGGCUUAGAAGCAGCCAUCAUUUAAAGAAAGCGUAAUAGCUCACUGGUCGAGUCGGCCUGCGCGGAAGAUGUAACGGGGCUAAACCAUGCACCGAAGCUGCGGCAGCGACGCUUAUGCGUUGUUGGGUAGGGGA